GCUGGCGGCAUGCUUAACACAUGCAAGUACGAACGGCAGCGCGGGGAGCUUGCUCCCUGGCGGCGAGUGGCGGACGGGUGAGUAACGCGUAGGAAUCUGCCCAGUAGUGGGGGACAACCAGGGGAAACUCUGGCUAAUACCGCAUACGCCCUACGGGGGAAAGCGGGGGAUCUUCGGACCUCGCGCUAUUGGAUGAGCCUGCGUUGGAUUAGCUAGUUGGUAGGGUAAAGGCCUACCAAGGCGACGAUCCAUAGCUGGUCUGAGAGGACGAUCAGCCACACUGGGACUGAGACACGGCCCAGACUCCUACGGGAGGCAGCAGUGGGGAAUAUUGGACAAUGGGCGAAAGCCUGAUCCAGCAAUGCCGCGUGUGUGAAGAAGGCCUUAGGGUUGUAAAGCACUUUCAGUAGGGAAGAAAAGCUUAGAGUUAAUAGCUCUGAGUCUUGACGUUACCUACAGAAGAAGCACCGGCUAACUCUGUGCCAGCAGCCGCGGUAAUACAGAGGGUGCGAGCGUUAAUCGGAAUUACUGGGCGUAAAGGGCGCGUAGGCGGCCCGAUAAGUCGGAUGUGAAAGCCCCGGGUUCAACCUG
Molecule: ribosomal RNA, 591 nt
Filed under: uncultured Chromatiales bacterium
Lineage: Bacteria; Pseudomonadati; Pseudomonadota; Gammaproteobacteria; Chromatiales
Description: bacterial SSU rRNA
Rfam family: Bacterial small subunit ribosomal RNA
Source: RNAcentral